AGACAUUAUCAUGGGAAUCGUCUGCCAAGCUCUGUGUCUUGCGGGCUUCUCCUUUCCCUUUGCCGAACUACAAGCUCAAAUUUAAGUGCUUAUCCAUCCCAAGAGUUCCGAAAAGUGCAUGUAUACCAAAGAUUAUGCUGAGAAAAACAGAGCUUCUGCUGGUGUAUAAGGGUGAUGCAUGGGCUCCUCCCAUCUCUUGCCUCGGUUUGCCCCCAUGGCCUGGCCUCUUGGCUUCUCCAAGGUCUCCUUCUGGUAGGGGAGAUCGUGUUAUCUUGUCUGCAUCCUCUUCG
Long non-coding RNA from Macadamia integrifolia, 290 nucleotides. RefSeq lists it as uncharacterized. The transcript has 3 exons. The record is from RefSeq and is a predicted model, not a curated record. Lineage: Eukaryota; Viridiplantae; Streptophyta; Magnoliopsida; Proteales; Proteaceae.